This 330-nucleotide ribosomal RNA is filed under the name uncultured bacterium. Its description in RNAcentral is "bacterial SSU rRNA". It matches the Rfam family "Bacterial small subunit ribosomal RNA", at positions 335 to 655 of the family's 1533-position model. The record is from RNAcentral.
ACUCCUACGGGAGGCAGCAGUGGGAAGUAUUGCACAAUGGCGGCAAGCUGAUGCAGCCAUGCCGCGUGUGUGAAGAAGGCCUUCGGGUUGUAAAGCACUUUCAGUCGUGAGGAAGGUGGUGUUGUUAAUAGCAGCAUCAUUUGACGUUAGCGACAGAAGAAGCACCGGCUAACUCCGUGCCAGCAGCCGCGGUAAUACGGAGGGUGCGAGCGUUAAUCGGAAUUACUGGGCGUAAAGCGCAUGCAGGUGGUUUGUUAAGUCAGAUGUGAAAGCCCGGGCUCAAGCCUCAGGCAAUAGACAUUUGAAACUGGCAAGCUAGAGUACUGUAGA